Molecule: ribosomal RNA, 466 nt
Filed under: uncultured bacterium
Lineage: Bacteria
Description: bacterial SSU rRNA
Rfam family: Bacterial small subunit ribosomal RNA
Source: RNAcentral
CCCAGACUCCUACGGGAGGCAGCAGUGAGGAAUAUUGGUCAAUGGCCGGAAGGCUGAACCAGCCAAGCCGCGUGAAGGACGAAGGUGCCAAGCAUUGUAAACUUCUUUUGUCAAGGGACAAAAUCAGGCUCGAGAGCCUGACCGAGGGUACUUGAAGAAAAAGCAUCGGCUAACUCCGUGCCAGCAGCCGCGGUAAUACGGAGGAUGCGAGCGUUAUCCGGAUUUAUUGGGUUUAAAGGGUGCGUAGGCGGGGCUUUAAGUCGGUGGGAAAAGGGGGGGGCCCACCCCCUGCCCGCCAUUGAAACUGGCGCUCUUGAGUGGAAGAGAAGUAUGCGGAAUGCGUGGUGUAGCGGUGAAAUGCAUAGAUAUCACGCAGAACCCCGAUUGCGAAGGCAGCCUACCGGCUCCUGUCUGACGCUGAGGCACGAAAGCGUGGGUAUCGAACAGGAUUAGAUACCCGAGUAGC